Benincasa hispida (wax gourd) is the source of this 564-nucleotide non-coding RNA. NCBI's taxonomy places the organism in Eukaryota, Viridiplantae, Streptophyta, Magnoliopsida, Cucurbitales, Cucurbitaceae. The record is from RefSeq and is a predicted model, not a curated record.
AUGAAUCUGAGAAAAAAGAGGAGAAGAAAAAAGAUACUAGAAAAUGAAAGUAAGUUAUCAACAUCAUGAGGAGAAUAGAACACUUGCAAGGUUCCAAAUGAGGGAGAUUAUCAAGAUAUGAUGUACAAUGGAGCUCUGCGAUGUUCUUGGCUAAGAAUAAGAAAUCACACUUACUACUCAGAAUUAGAUUGAUAGUAGAGCUGUUAUUGCUUUUAUAAAGCCCCUCCCAAAAGAGAUUUCUCAAAUCAAAAUGAUACAAACUUAAUGUGACCUGAUCGUACAAGGAUGGUGAAUUGGGAGGGGAGGAAUCUACCUAAUGACUUACAAAAGAACCAAGUUAUUCAUAUUCAAUUCUUUAUACCAAAAAUCCUGCAGUAUUAUUCAAUCCUGCAGUAUUAUUCAAUCCUGCAGUACCAAAGCAAAAACAGAAGCGUGGCUGGUCGGCUACCUGUGGGCAAAAUCAAAAUUCAUGUGACGAUUCAACUCCUACAACAACAAUUAAUAAUCUCUUUGAAGCUUUGAAUACCCUCCUCCAGCAUGAAACACGCUAAUCAAAACCCUCCC